CCAGACUCCUACGGGAGGCAGCAGUGGGGAAUAUUGCACAAUGGGGGAAACCCUGAUGCAGCGACGCCGCGUGAGCGAAGAAGUAUUUCGGUAUGUAAAGCUCUAUCAGCAGGGAAGAAAAAAAUGACGGUACCUGAGUAAGAAGCACCGGCUAAAUACGUGCCAGCAGCCGCGGUAAUACGUAUGGUGCAAGCGUUAUCCGGAUUUACUGGGUGUAAAGGGAGCGUAGGCGGCGCGUUAAGUCUGAUGUGAAAACCCGAGGCUCAACCACGGGAGUGCAUUGGAAACUGGCGGGCUGGAGUGCCGGAGAGGUAAGCGGAAUUCCUAGUGUAGCGGUGAAAUGCGUAGAUAUUAGGAGGAACACCAGUGGCGAAGGCGGCUUACUGGACGGCAACUGACGCUGAGGCUCGAAAGCGUGGGGAGCAAACAGGAUUAGAUACCCGAGUA
Molecule: ribosomal RNA, 447 nt
Filed under: uncultured bacterium
Lineage: Bacteria
Description: bacterial SSU rRNA
Rfam family: Bacterial small subunit ribosomal RNA
Source: RNAcentral